Lynx canadensis (Canada lynx) is the source of this 969-nucleotide RNA transcript. It is a transcript of the gene named MORF4 family-associated protein 1-like, with no coding region annotated. The transcript has 3 exons. The record is from RefSeq and is a predicted model, not a curated record. Lineage: Eukaryota; Metazoa; Chordata; Mammalia; Carnivora; Felidae.
GACGGCGUGAGAGGAGGAGCUCGCAGAGGUAAUUCGGCAGCACUGCUGACCCGUCGACGCCCGCAGCAACGGUUUGGCGGGACAGAUGCGACCCUUGGACGUCGUCGAGCUGGCAGAGCCGGAGGAGGUGGAGGUGCUGGAGCCCGAGGAGGAUUUCGAGCAGUUCCUGCUGCCCGUCAUCAACGAGAUGCGGGAGGACAUCGCGGCGCUGACCCGGGAGCACGGCCGGGCGUACAUGCGGAACCGGAGCAAGCUGUGGGAGAUGGACAGUAUGCUCAUCCAAAUCAAAACGCAGGUGGAGGCCUCGGAGGAGAGCGCCCUGAACCAUCUUCAGAAUCCCGACGAUGGAGUCGAGGGCAGAGGGACCAAACGGUGCGAGAAGGCGGAGGAGAAGGCCAAGGAGAUCGCGAAGAUGGCAGAGAUGUUGGUGGAGCUGGUCCGGCGGAUAGAGAGAAGCGAAUCGUCGUGAGGGAGGGCGGGCGGUUGCAGAAAUCUGGGACUCAGUGUCUUGAUGGCAAAUUUCUGCCAAUUGUGCGUCGGGUUCACAGCUCAUGGACUCUGGUCACCUGAUACAUCCUGUGCUUUCCUUUCCCCAACGCUGGGCCUGUGGCUGGCUGUUCCUUCAAUCACCAUCUUAAUCCAGUGAUCAAAGUGGACAUGACAAGAAAUGGGACAGACCGACACCGCGUGCCAUCUGAUAAGAUGCCGUGAGAAGAGCAUCGCGUCACUUCUGGGACAUUCUUGCCAAAGGUACACGACCCAGGCCCAGUCACGAGCAAACCUCAGACAACCUCAACUCGAAGGAAAUUCUGCAAAAUUAUUAGCUCGUAAUCCUCAAAAGUGUCAAGGUCAUGCAAGUCUGGGAAAGGCGGCGUAAACGUGAUCCCUUUGCUCUAUAAAAGACCUUAUUAGGAACAAUUGGCUGGGCGGGGUGCCUGGGUGGCUCAGUCAGAGGAGCCUCCGACUUGG